This 200-nucleotide unclassified non-coding RNA is filed under the name plant metagenome. RNAcentral's name for it is "partial contains small subunit ribosomal RNA and internal transcribed spacer 1". The stretch from base 1 to 46 matches the Rfam family "Eukaryotic small subunit ribosomal RNA", at positions 1786 to 1831 of the family's 1831-position model. The record is from RNAcentral.
AAGUCGUAACAAGGUUUCCGUAGGUGAACCUGCGGAAGGAUCAUUAAAGAAUUAGGCUUCCGCCGGCCAAAGUUCUCCACCCUUUAGUAUACCGAAAUCCAUGGUUGCUUUGGCAGGCCCCUGCAUUUCUCGGGGACCCUGCCAGAGGGUUAUAAACCCUAGAAUCUCUGCUGUCAUGUAGUACUAUAUAAUAGUUAAAA